AUUGAACGCUGGCGGCAUGCUUUACACAUGCAAGUCGAACGGUAACAGGCCGCAAGGUGCUGACGAGUGGCGAACGGGUGAGUAAUGCAUCGGAACGUGCCCAGUCGUGGGGGAUAACUACUCGAAAGAGUAGCUAAUACCGCAUACGAUCUAUGGAUGAAAGCGGGGGACCGUAAGGCCUCGCGCGAUUGGAGCGGCCGAUGUCAGAUUAGGUAGUUGGUGGGGUAAAGGCUCACCAAGCCAACGAUCUGUAGCUGGUCUGAGAGGACGACCAGCCACACUGGGACUGGGAACCGGCCAGGACUCCUAGGGGAGGCAGAGGGGGGAAAUUUGGGAAAAUGGGCGCAACCCUGUCCCAGAAAUGCGGCGGGCAGAAAAAAGGCCUUCGGGUUGUAAACUGCUUUUUUACGGAACAAAACGGCUCUGGUUAAUACCCGGGGCUAAUGACGGUCCCGAAAGAAUAAGCCCCGGCAACCUCCGU
This 481-nucleotide ribosomal RNA is filed under the name uncultured bacterium. RNAcentral's name for it is "partial 16S ribosomal RNA". It matches the Rfam family "Bacterial small subunit ribosomal RNA", at positions 30 to 506 of the family's 1533-position model. The record is from RNAcentral.